UACGAAGGGGGCUAGCGUUGCUCGGAAUUACUGGGCGUAAAGCGCACGUAGGCGGCUUUCUAAGUCGGGGGUGAAAUCCUGGAGCUCAACUCCAGAACUGCCUUCGAUACUGGAAAGCUCGAGUCCGGGAGAGGUGAGUGGAACUGCGAGUGUAGAGGUGAAAUUCGUAGAUAUUCGCAAGAACACCGGUGGCGAAGGCGGGUCUCUGGGCCGUAACUGACGCUGAGGAGCGAAAGCGUGGGGAGCGAACAGG
This 253-nucleotide ribosomal RNA is filed under the name uncultured bacterium. RNAcentral describes it as "partial 16S ribosomal RNA". It matches the Rfam family "Bacterial small subunit ribosomal RNA", at positions 524 to 776 of the family's 1533-position model. The record is from RNAcentral.